RNAcentral lists this ribosomal RNA (709 nucleotides) under uncultured bacterium. Its description in RNAcentral is "bacterial SSU rRNA". It matches the Rfam family "Bacterial small subunit ribosomal RNA", at positions 10 to 757 of the family's 1533-position model. The record is from RNAcentral.
AGUUGUAUCCUGGCUCAGGAUGAACGCUGGCGGUAUGCCUUACACAUGCAAGUCGUGCGAGAGUUUUUAACUCAAGUGGCGGACGGGUGAGUAACACGUAAGAAUUUGCCUUUAGGAGGGGGACAACAACUGGAAACGGUUGCUAAUACCCCAUAUGCUUUCGAGUGAAAUGGAUUUAUUUCCGCCUAGAGAGAAGCUUGCGGCUGAUUAGCUUGUUGGUGAGGUAAUGGCUCACCAAGGCGACGAUCAGUAUCUGGUUUGAGAGGACGAUCAGACACACUGGAACUGAGACACGGUCCAGACUCCUACGGGAGGCAGCAGUGGGGAAUUUUCCGCAAUGGGCGAAAGCCUGACGGAGCAAUACCGCGUGAGGGAUGACGGCCUAUGGGUUGUAAACCUCUUUUUUCAGGGAGGAAUCAAUGACGUGUACCUGAAGAAUAAGCAUCGGCUAACUCCGUGCCAGCAGCCGCGGUAAGACGGAGGAUGCAAGUGUUAUCCGGAAUCACUGGGCGUAAAGCGUCUGUAGGUGGUCCAAUAAGUCAACUGUUAAAUCUUGAGGCUCAACCUCAAAAUCGCAGUCGAAACUGUUAGACUAGAGUAUAGUAGGGGUAAAGGGAAUUUCCAGUGGAGCGGUGAAAUGCGUAGAGAUUGGAAGGAACACCGAUGGCGAAGGCACUUUACUGGGCUAUUACUAACACUCAGAGACGAA